This 497-nucleotide ribosomal RNA is filed under the name uncultured bacterium. RNAcentral's name for it is "partial 16S ribosomal RNA". It matches the Rfam family "Bacterial small subunit ribosomal RNA", at positions 28 to 507 of the family's 1533-position model. The record is from RNAcentral.
GACGAACGCUGGCGGCGUGCCUAAUACAUGCAAGUAGAACGCUGAAGAGAGGAGCUUACUCUUCUUGGAUGAGUUGCGAACGGGUGAGUAACGCGUAGGUAACCUGCCUUGUAGCGGGGGAUAACUAUUGGAAACGAUAGCUAAUACCGCAUAACAAUGGAUGACACAUGUCAUUUAUUUGAAAGGGGCAAUUGCUCCACUACAAGAUGGACCUGCGUUGUAUUAGCUAGUAGGUGAGGUAAUGGCUCACCUAGGCGACGAUACAUAGCCGACCUGAGAGGGUGAUCGGCCACACUGGGACUGAGACACGGCCCAGACUCCUACGGGAGGCAGCAGUAGGGAAUCUUCGGCAAUAGGGGCAACCCUGACCGAGCAACGCCGAGUGAGUGAAGAAGGUUUUCGGAUCGUAAAGCUCUGUUGUAAGUCAAGAACGGGUGUGAGAGUGGAAAGUUCACACUGUGACGGUAGCUUACCAGAAAGGGACGGCUAACUACGUG